Molecule: long non-coding RNA, 592 nt
Filed under: Homo sapiens (human)
Lineage: Eukaryota; Metazoa; Chordata; Mammalia; Primates; Hominidae
Description: non-protein coding lnc-TRIM32-9:1
Source: RNAcentral
UUUACCCCCUUGGCCUGUAGGGGCAAGAGGAGAAAGUGGUUAUGGGACCCAGAGAGAGGGACUGUAUGGAGGGGAUUUCCUGGCAGCAGCUGUGGCUCUCAGCAAGGGAAGCAGCCAGGCUACAGCCACCUGACCAGAAGGGAACCAGGAGAGUAAAUUCCAUGUUGUCAUUCUCUCUGCCUGCCAGUCUCCUGCCAGUGCUUCCCAUUUGGUGGAUCCAACUGAAGUCACAAAACAAAGGAACCUGUUGAUGCAAUCCAUAGAUAGCCAGCCUCCCAAGGACACAGAGCAGGGUGGGGAGUGGACCUGCAUUAGCAAGCAGAGAAUGUCCAGAGCCUAGAGACAGCCAGCCCAUGCAGAGGGUAGGGCAUAAGCCAGGCAGUGGAGAGGGUGAGGAGUGGUGUAUAGAAGAGAGCAUGGAGUUUAAGGGGUUAUUAUGGCUGAGAUCCAGACCAUGAGCAGAGAAAAGUUCAGUUUAUCUCACGGAAAACUUUAAUGUUAGGCUUAAUCCUCUGUUCCUUCCUCCCUACAUUCUUCCCACCUUCCCUUCCUUCUGUCCUUUUCUUCUCUCAAUAAAUAUUUGUUGAAUGCU